AUUGAACGCUGGCGGCAGGCCUAACACAUGCAAGUCGAACGGCAGCACAGAAGAGCUUGCUCUUUGGGUGGCGAGUGGCGGACGGGUGAGUAAUGUCUGGGAAACUGCCCGAUGGAGGGGGAUAACUACUGGAAACGGUAGCUAAUACCGCAUAACGUCGCGAGACCAAAGUGGGGGACCUUCGGGCCUCACACCAUCGGAUGUGCCCAGAUGGGAUUAGCUAGUAGGUGGGGUAAUGGCUCACCUAGGCGACGAUCCCUAGCUGGUCUGAGAGGAUGACCAGCCACACUGAAACUGAGACACGGUCCAGACGCCCACGGGAGGCAGCAGUGGGGAAUAUUGCACAAUGGGCGCAAGCCUGAUGCAGCCAUGCCGCGUGUAUGAAGAAGGCCUUCGGGUUGUAAAGUACUUUCAGCGGGGAGGAAGGCGGUGAGGUUAAUAACCUCGCCGAUUGACGUUACCCGCAGAAGAAGCACCGGCUAACUCCGUGCCAGCCGCCGCCGUAA
This 506-nucleotide ribosomal RNA is filed under the name uncultured bacterium. Its description in RNAcentral is "partial 16S ribosomal RNA". It matches the Rfam family "Bacterial small subunit ribosomal RNA", at positions 29 to 523 of the family's 1533-position model. The record is from RNAcentral.